CAUGCAGUCGAACGAUGAACCACAUUCGGUGGGGAUUAGUGGCGAACGGGUGAGUAACACGUGGGCAAUCUGCCCUUCACUCUGGGACAAGCCCUGGAAACGGGGUCUAAUACCGGAUAACACUUCCACUCUCCUGAGUGGAGGUUAAAAGCUCCGGCGGUGAAGGAUGAGCCCGCGGCCUAUCAGCUAGUUGGUGAGGUAAUGGCUCACCAAGGCGACGACGGGUAGCCGGCCUGAGAGGGCGACCGGCCACACUGGGACUGAGACACGGCCCAGACUCCUACGGGAGGCAGCAGUGGGGAAUAUUGCACAAUGGGCGAAAGCCUGAUGCAGCGACGCCGCGUGAGGGAUGACGGCCUUCGGGUUGUAAACCUCUUUCAGCAGGGAAGAAGCGAAAGUGACGGUACCUGCAGAAGAAGCGCCGGCUAACUACGUGCCAGCAGCCGCGGUAAUACGUAGGGCGCGAGCGUUGUCCGGAAUUAUUGGGCGUAAAGAGCUCGUAGGCGGCUUGUCACGUCGAUUGUGAAAGCUCGGGGCUUAACUCCGAGUCUGCAGUCGAUACGGGCUAGCUAGAGUGUGGUAGGGGAGAUCGGAAUUCCUGGUGUAGCGGUGAAAUGCGCAGAUAUCAGGAGGAACACCGGUGGCGAAGGCGGAUCUCUGGGCCAUUACUGACGCUGAGGAGCGAAAGCGUGGGGAGCGAA
Molecule: ribosomal RNA, 701 nt
Filed under: Streptomyces sp.
Lineage: Bacteria; Bacillati; Actinomycetota; Actinomycetes; Kitasatosporales; Streptomycetaceae
Description: bacterial SSU rRNA
Rfam family: Bacterial small subunit ribosomal RNA
Source: RNAcentral